Molecule: long non-coding RNA, 1180 nt
Filed under: Piliocolobus tephrosceles (Ugandan red Colobus)
Lineage: Eukaryota; Metazoa; Chordata; Mammalia; Primates; Cercopithecidae
Description: lncRNA (ENSPTEG00000020076.1)
Source: RNAcentral
GUUUUUUUACUUCUUGAAGAUAAUAAACAACUAAAUUUUUCUUACACGAAAAAUCCUGAAUAUUUUAAAACCACCUUUUUCUUCAUUUAUAAAUAUAUAUACAUGCACACACUAUGGAAGAAACACAAAUUGCGAGGGUUUUGGAUUUAUUUAAUUUAAAAAAAAAAUGAUAUGGGUUAUAUUGAUAAGCAAGAGCUCAUAACAAUACUGAAAUCUUUAGGGUACGCAAACCCAUGUUUUAUUUAAAUUAUUAUUAAAAAAUUAAAUAAAAAAAAAGACAAUACAUAUGGAUAUAUACAUUUGUGUGUGUCUUAUGCGUAGAAACAAAAAAUGUGUUGCAAUAUCGCUGUAACGGAUUUUACUAAUAUUAUGCAUGUAUAUACCCUAUAUAUGUAUUAUUUUUGAUACAUAAAAAAACAGGUUUAUAAUAUGUAAUGAUAUGUUCGUAAAUAAUAAAAAUUUCUACACGAUUGAUGAUUUAAAUGACUUUGUUUAUAAACUUAAAAGUAAUUAUUAUGCGAAGAAGAAAGUUGAAAAAUGUAUUCAAUUUUUAAACCCUAACAAUGACAAAAUAAAUACGAUCAUUUUAAAAAAGUUAUUGUGUGAACAUGGAAACAAGUUCACAGAAGAAGAGUUUAAAAAAUUUCUUGUUGAUGUUCCAGUAAUUUUUUUUAUGUUUUUUCUAUUUUCAAAAGAAGUUAUAAAAAAGAAAGCGUCAUUUUUGUUUAAUUUUUUUUUAUUUUCUUUUUUCUCAAAUUUAGGUAGACGACGAUGGGAACAUAAGCCACUCUGAUUUCAUUGAAACGUAAGAGAAAAAAAAAAACAAAAAAAAAAAAAAAAAAGAGCGUAACAUAUAUGCAUUAAUUGUAAUUAUGAUUAGAAAAACAAAGCAAAACACACAUACAUUAAUUUUAAUAAGGAUUAAAAAAUAUAUAUAUUAUCAACUGUUUAUCGAUAUAAAGUGCACGAAAAUUCAAAUAAUUUUAUAACUUUACAAUGUUACAAUUUUAUAAUAGUUUAUUUUUUCAAUUUCAUAAUCGUACAGUGUUACAAUUUUAUAGUUUUCCUUUUAUUUUUUGUUACUUUUUUUUUUUUUUUUAAAGCUUUUCUAAGUACGUCGAAUACUAAAAACAAAAUACACAGUCGUCAGGAAUAAAAAAUUAAAAAUAAGAAAAAAACA